ACGGAAGGCAGCAGUGGGGAAUAUUGCACAAUGGGCGAAAGCCUGAUGCAGCGACGCCGCGUGAGUGAUGAAGUAUUUCGGUAUGUAAAGCUCUAUCAGCAGGGAAGAUAAUGACGGUACCUGACUAAGAAGCACCGGCUAAAUACGUGCCAGCAGCCGCGGUAAUACGUAUGGUGCAAGCGUUAUCCGGAUUUACUGGGUGUAAAGGGAGCGCAGGCGGUACGGCAAGUCUGAUGUGAAAGCCCGGGGCUCAACCCCGGUACUGCAUUGGAAACUGUCGAACUAGAGUGUCGGAGGGGUAAGUGGAAUUCCUAGUGUAGCGGUGAAAUGCGUAGAUAUUAGGAGGAACACCAGUGGCGAAGGCGACUUACUAGACGAUAACUGACGCUGAGGCUCGAAAGCGUGGGGAGCAAACAGGAUUAGAUACCCUGGUA
RNAcentral lists this ribosomal RNA (434 nucleotides) under uncultured Roseburia sp. RNAcentral describes it as "partial 16S ribosomal RNA". It matches the Rfam family "Bacterial small subunit ribosomal RNA", at positions 341 to 792 of the family's 1533-position model. The record is from RNAcentral. Lineage: Bacteria; Bacillati; Bacillota; Clostridia; Lachnospirales; Lachnospiraceae.